GCACAACGCGAAGAACCUUACCUACUCUUGACAUCCAGAGAACUUAGCAGAGAUGCUUUGGUGCCUUCGAGAACUCUGAGACAGGUGCUGCAUGGCUGUCGUCAGCUCGUGUUGUGAAAUGUUGGGUUAAGUCCCGCAACGAGCGCAACCCUUAUCCUUUGUUGCCAGCGGUCCGGCCGGGAACUCAAAGGAGACUGCCAGUGAUAAAUUGGAGGAAGGUGGGGAUGACGUCAAGUCAUCAUGGCCCUUACGAGUAGGGCUACACACGUGCUACAAUGGCGCAUACAAAGAGAAGCGACCUCGCGAGAGCAAGCGGACCUCAUAAAGUGCGUCGUAGUCCGGAUUGGAGUCUGCAACUCGACUCCAUGAAGUCGGAAUCGCUAGUAAUCGUGGAUCAGAAUGCCACGGUGAAUACGUUCCCGGGUCUUGUACACACCG
RNAcentral lists this ribosomal RNA (438 nucleotides) under uncultured bacterium. Its description in RNAcentral is "bacterial SSU rRNA". It matches the Rfam family "Bacterial small subunit ribosomal RNA", at positions 954 to 1392 of the family's 1533-position model. The record is from RNAcentral.